CUGAAGGGCAGCAUCCCCGUGAGGACCUCUCAAACAAAGUUACCCUGGAGAUGGUCUCUGAGGAACAGUGACAACUCUCUGCAGACAAGAUGAUCUGCUUGGUUUGGUAUUAUAAGCCCUAAAGAGGGUGGCUUCUGUGAAUUCAUACAUGAUCUGAAACAAAGAUUAUAGCCGUCAGGAUGAAAGGACAUGCUUGUGGUGCCUCACUGCUCUGUGCCAAAGAGGUAGAAAUGCUAAAGGCAUGCCAAAAUAGCUUCUCACAAAUAGAAGCUCAUCAGCUCCCAAAAUUUCCAUUCAGACCCAAGUAUAAAGGAACCGGCUUGGCAUCUGCACUUGCUAAUGCCUAGAAAGACCAGCUUGACCUUCAAGUGCCAUCUUUUCAUGAAGAGGCAGCCAUUCCUCACCAUGGUUGUCUCCCAGAAACAUAGGGAAGAUGGCGCAGAAUUGCGGAGGGUCAGAACAGGACAGCAGCUGCAAUGACUUGAAAGGACUUCAAACUUCAUUUUCUACUCUGCAGAUGAUAAAUUAGUUCAUCUUCAUCUCAGACUAAUUCUCAUAUGGAGAGACAAGAUGGCAUCUGUCCCUAAAUGCAGGAAGGUCACUUUACAGCUACGCCACAACUCUGCAUAAAUAAAUUCUUGGAGGCAACUUGGGUUUUUUUGAAUUCAGAGUUGGGCCAGCAUCAGCUGUAGCCCUGUCAGUUUGGUGCUGCCAACUGUCAGUAAUAGGACUUAAUUUUUAUAACAAUAUCAGGCUCCAGGACUUGUCAGGUUUUGUCUAAACUGGAAUUUAUUUUAGCUUAAACUUAGCUCUAUCUCCAAAGCUAUUUAAGAAACCUUUGCUGCACCUGCAGCUUGCUCUAGGAUCAGAUGACUCUCAUCUACUCUAUCCUAGCUGUAGCAACAAAACUACCCUAAUAUCAUAUACCUAUUGUUUGUCCUGUAAUUUCAGCCAGGUUUCAGUUAUGUUAUUGCCUAACUUGUUUUGGCUCCAGUCUUAUGUAACUUCGUGUAACAAGUGUGUGGUUCUAGCCCCAAAAUCACAUUGUAUAUGAAGAAAAAAGGUUAAGAAACCUAAGUAAUCACAGCAAUGACUAAAUAACCCCAUGGACCAUUAAAAUGCAACAGUCUGCAACUCAUUACAAAAUACAAGGUUAACACAUAAAAAAUAACCCCAAGCAGCUGCAAGGAGGAGCCAGCCCCCACAACUGACACCACGCUUUGCCCGAGCAGGAACCGAUAUGCUGACAGCUCACUCUCAUAAUACAACUGCAGGAUGUGAGCCUGGCAUCAGAGAAAACAGGCAGCUCGCCAUGCCUGUUGAUUUUAUUGCAUUUGUAAUGAUCUCCAACAGAAACUGGGCAAUUUGGAUUAUUGCUUUAAACCAAGUAAUAGUAAGUGAUUGUCCUGUUUUGGAUUAGACUGUUAAAGCAUUAGAGUAACAACAACAAGGAAUAAUCAUUCUCCGCUGCCCAUCA
Molecule: long non-coding RNA, 1477 nt
Organism: Cuculus canorus (common cuckoo)
Lineage: Eukaryota; Metazoa; Chordata; Aves; Cuculiformes; Cuculidae
Exons: 3
Source: RefSeq, a predicted model, not a curated record